Molecule: ribosomal RNA, 207 nt
Filed under: uncultured Mesotoga sp.
Lineage: Bacteria; Thermotogati; Thermotogota; Thermotogae; Kosmotogales; Kosmotogaceae
Description: partial 16S ribosomal RNA
Rfam family: Bacterial small subunit ribosomal RNA
Source: RNAcentral
AGCGUAGGUGGCCUAACAUGUCAACUGUGAAAACCCGGAGCUCAACUCCGGACUUGCAGUUGAAACUGGUAGGCUUGAGGACGGUAGAGGAAGACGGAACUGCCAGUGUAGGGGUAAAAUCCUUAGAUAUUGGCAGGAACGCCGGUGACGAAGGUGGUUUUCUGGGCCGGUUCUGACACUGAUGCUCGAAGGCCAGGGGAGCGAACG